UAGUCCACGCCGUAAACGAUGUCGACUUGGAGGUUGUUCCCUUGAGGAGUGGCUUCCGGAGCUAACGCGUUAAGUCGACCGCCUGGGGAGUACGGCCGCAAGGUUAAAACUCAAAUGAAUUGACGGGGGCCCGCACAAGCGGUGGAGCAUGUGGUUUAAUUCGAUGCAACGCGAAGAACCUUACCUACUCUUGACAUCCAGAGAACUUAGCAGAGAUGCUUUGGUGCCUUCGGGAACUCUGAGACAGGUGCUGCAUGGCUGUCGUCAGCUCGUGUUGUGAAAUGUUGGGUUAAGUCCCGCAACGAGCGCAACCCUUAUCCUUUGUUGCCAGCGGUUAGGCCGGGAACUCAAAGGAGACUGCCAGUGAUAAACUGGAGGAAGGUGGGGAUGACGUCAAGUCAUCAUGGCCCUUACGAGUAGGGCUACACACGUGCUACAAUGGCGCAUACAAAGAGAAGCGACCUCGCGAGAGCAAGCGGACCUCAUAAAGUGCGUCGUAGUCCGGAUUGGAGUCUGCAACUCGACUCCAUGAAGUCGGAAUCGCUAGUAAUCGUAGAUCAGAAUGCUACGGUGAAUACGUUCCCGGGCCUUGUACACUCCGCCCGUCACACCAUGGGAGUGGGUUGCAAAAGAAGUAGGUAGCUUAACCUUCGGGAGGGCGCUUACCACUUUGUGAUUCAUGACUGGGG
Molecule: ribosomal RNA, 689 nt
Filed under: uncultured Serratia sp.
Lineage: Bacteria; Pseudomonadati; Pseudomonadota; Gammaproteobacteria; Enterobacterales; Yersiniaceae
Description: bacterial SSU rRNA
Rfam family: Bacterial small subunit ribosomal RNA
Source: RNAcentral